GUUAUUUUGUGUAUCUUUUUUACAUAACAUUUGCCAUUGCUAAUGGCGUACACAGUAAUCUAGCUUAUUUGAAAUAAAUAAAUCAAUUCAAGCUAAAAUGUAAGAGUCUAUAAUUAGGCUACUGAGCCUGAUCUAUUUGUACCAGAGAUUUUCUUACCUUUUAAAAAAAUGUCACCUGGGCUAAAACUCCCUCUGCAACCCUGAUUUGCAUUUGUAUAGCUCACAGCAUUUUCAUUUACAUGUCAAAGCCUCCCCUAGAAAUAGGAGGAGGGGGGUCAUGGGGGGACAACUGCCAAGGGAGGCCCACGUCAAUUUCUGACAAUUUACGGCAGUUUUCGGCGUUGCCCGCAAAUUGCCGCAAACCUGAAAUUCCACGACAAUUUACAGUGCCGCAUACUGCCGAAAAUCCCACUUUUCAUGCAGUGCAUCUUCAGGUACUUUCAGACCUAUCAUCAGAGGCAGCAGACGUAACAGGCACCAAUUUUCAUGAGCAUUGCCUCCCACCGUUUUACGGUUUGAAAAGUUUCCAGGUACAAGAUGAGGGCGAUUUGUCUUGUCACACCACUUGUAUGGGAACUGAAGGAUGAUUUCAUUUAGUUCAAUGAGAGAAAAAUACUUCUUCUUGAUAAGUGCAUCAAAAGACAAUACCAAUUCUAAUGGAAUAAUGCCUUCAAGAAGGUCAUGUACAUCAUCUGGAGGGUAUCCAGAUGUAACAUGAAAGUGUUCAAGAAAGUGCUCCACUGGAGCGUUCGGGACUCUGCGGGUUUCUGUCCAUGGAGGAGAGGAACCGACUCAAAGAAGAGGAGACGGGCGCACAAUCCCACGAUAGCGGAAGCGGUGCGCCGUCUUCAACUCCGAGACGAACUACAGGCGCCACGAACCGGAGCAAGGCCGCCUGUGUGACGUAUUGUGAGACGGGACGCAGGAGCUUCAGGUUCAGGCGGAACACUCAUUGCGAGCGGAAGCUGCGAAGGAUUCAGCGCGGAGUCGAGCGAGAAGAAAGAGGGUCAGAGUUUAUUUGCUGACUUGUUUCAGGUGCAUUGAUCGAUGUGUUGUGUCCGUACGCAUCGCACAGUACUGAUUCAUUGUUGUUUUUACAGCUGCUGGAAUCGAGACAAAGUGCGCUGGCUGAUGACGAGGUGGAACUCUGGAAAUCCGCCACCGUAGAGCUCACGUCGGACGGAGGGGACGGCGUUGUUGGCGGGGUCUCGGGGUGGAUUGU
This is a long non-coding RNA of Gasterosteus aculeatus aculeatus (three-spined stickleback), 1222 nucleotides long. NCBI's taxonomy places the organism in Eukaryota, Metazoa, Chordata, Actinopteri, Perciformes, Gasterosteidae. The record is from Ensembl.